This 995-nucleotide ribosomal RNA is filed under the name uncultured bacterium. RNAcentral describes it as "bacterial SSU rRNA". It matches the Rfam family "Bacterial small subunit ribosomal RNA", at positions 356 to 1376 of the family's 1533-position model. The record is from RNAcentral.
GGGGAAUAUUGCACAAUGGGGGAAACCCUGAUGCAGCGACGCCGCGUGGAGGAAGAAGGUCUUCGGAUUGUAAACUCCUGUUGUUGGGGAAGAUAAUGACGGUACCCAACAAGGAAGUGACGGCUAACUACGUGCCAGCAGCCGCGGUAAAACGUAGGUCACAAGCGUUGUCCGGAAUUACUGGGUGUAAAGGGAGCGCAGGCGGGAAGACAAGUUGGAAGUGAAAUCUAUGGGCUCAACCCAUAAACUGCUUUCAAAACUGUUUUUCUUGAGUAGUGCAGAGGUAGGCGGAAUUCCCGGUGUAGCGGUGGAAUGCGUAGAUAUCGGGAGGAACACCAGUGGCGAAGGCGGCCUACUGGGCACCAACUGACGCUGAGGCUCGAAAGUGUGGGUAGCAAACAGGAUUAGAUACCCUGGUAGUCCACACCGUAAACGAUGAUUACUAGGUGUUGGAGGAUUGACCCCUUCAGUGCCGCAGUUAACACAAUAAGUAAUCCACCUGGGGAGUACGACCGCAAGGUUGAAACUCAAAGGAAUUGACGGGGGCCCGCACAAGCAGUGGAGUAUGUGGUUUAAUUCGACGCAACGCGAAGAACCUUACCAAGUCUUGACAUCCCUUGACAGACAUAGAAAUAUGUUUUCUCUUCGGAGCAAGGAGACAGGUGGUGCAUGGUUGUCGUCAGCUCGUGUCGUGAGAUGUUGGGUUAAGUCCCGCAACGAGCGCAACCCUUAUGGUCAGUUACUACGCAAGAGGACUCUGGCCAGACUGCCGUUGACAAAACGGAGGAAGGUGGGGAUGACGUCAAAUCAUCAUGCCCUUUAUGACUUGGGCUACACACGUACUACAAUGGCGUUAAACAAAGAGAAGCAAGACCGCGAGGUGGAGCAAAACUCAGAAACAACGUCCCAGUUCGGACUGCAGGCUGCAACUCGCCUGCACGAAGUCGGAAUCGCUAGUAAUCGCGGAUCAGCAUGCCGCGGUGAAUACGUUCCCG